AGCUCGGCAGCUUUGUUGGUAGAGCACUUGUCUAGCGUAUAAGGGUCGUGAGUUCAAAUCACACCUGAGCUG
Aedes albopictus (Asian tiger mosquito) is the source of this 72-nucleotide non-coding RNA. Lineage: Eukaryota; Metazoa; Arthropoda; Insecta; Diptera; Culicidae. The record is from Rfam.